RNAcentral lists this long non-coding RNA (1071 nucleotides) under Chrysemys picta bellii (western painted turtle). Its description in RNAcentral is "lncRNA (ENSCPBG00000002846.1)". Lineage: Eukaryota; Metazoa; Chordata; Testudines; Emydidae. The record is from RNAcentral.
UAGUUCUAGUUGUAUAUAGUUAGAUAGUUGUUUAUUCACUUUCUUAAUAGUUGUUAUAUAGUUAAAGGGGAUUAAGGGGGUUGUCUCCCCCUUUUUCUCCCGGCGCGUGGCCGGGCUCAUGCCCAAGGCUCCCGGCUUCAAACAGUGCGCCUCCUGCGCUAAGCCUAUGCCAACGAGUGACCCGCACGACUCGUGUCUGAAGUGCCUGGGAGAGUCCCAUCAGACAGAUAAGUGCAAGAUCUGUAAGGCCUUCAGGCCGAGGACCAAGAAGGAGCGGGACUUUUGGCUCCGGCAACUCCUUAUGGAGGCGGCACUUAGCCCGGACGCUCCAUCGGCGUGUCAGGCCCCGGCACCUAGCAUCUCGGUGCGCAGUGCCCCGGCGGCACCGACCAUUCCGACCACGUCGGACAAGCCUCCACGGCACCGGACCUCGUCGGCACCGCACUCACAGCAAGUGCCUCGGCGCCGUUCAUCAUCCCCGGGACAUAAAAAAUCCCAUAAGAUGGGGACUGCCGUGCCGAAGACGCCGGCUCCCCCGGUGCCGGGGGUAGAGCCGCGUCCGCCUGUGGAGCACCGAAAACAGGUGCCUCCAGCACCGUCGACUCCGGCUCCGAGACCGUUGAGUCCGGUGCAGACAGGGUCACCACCGCGACCGGCGGUGAUACAGUGCCUCCCGUCGACCCCAGAGACCUUCGCGACGGCGAGAGACUUGAUCGCUCUCACGGAGCCGGCACCGCCCCAACCACCGGCACCGUCGGCACCGUUGACUCGUCCGGUCCAAUCCACGGGGAAACCUGCCUUGAUGCGUCCUCCAUCGCAGGGGCUGGAACCACGGCACCGGUCCAGGUCCCGAAGCAGGUCCCCACGCCGCUCGCAGUCCCGGCGCCGGAUAUCACCUCGGCACCGGUCGUACUCGCGGCCAAGAUCAUCUUCGCGGCACCACUCUACGUCUCGGCACCGCUAUGAUCGUCGGCACCGAUCGACAUCGAGACGUAGUUCUCGGCACCGAUACGAUCGACGCUCGACGUCGAGAGGCCGCUCCCGGCACCGGGCCUAUUCAAGAUCCAAUUC